CGGAUGAACGCUAGCGACAGGCCUAACACAUGCAAGUCGAGGGGCAUCGGGACGUAGCAAUACGUUGCCGGCGACCGGCGGAUGGGUGAGUAACGCGUAUGCAACCUACCCGUAGCAGGGGGAUAGCCCGUUGAAAGACGGAUUAAUACCCCGUAACACAGGGGCUCCGCAUGGAGAUUAUUGUUAAAGGGUCAUUUCUUUUUCAGGGAUGGUCCGGCUGCGGAUGGGCAUGCGUUCCAUUAGGUAGUUGGUGUAGGUAACUGCUCACCAAGCCGACGAUGGAUAGGGGAACUGAGAGGUUGGUCCCCCACACUGGUACUGAGACACGGACCAGACUCCUACGGGAGGCAGCAGUGAGGAAUUUUGGUCAAUGGACGCAAGUCUGAACCAGCCAUGUCGCGUGAAGGAGGACGGCCCUAAGGGUUGUAAACUUCUUUUGCAGUGGAAUAAAGUUUGCCACGUGUUGGCGAUUUGCAAGUACGCUGCGAAUAAGGAUCGGCUAACUCCGUG
This 510-nucleotide ribosomal RNA is filed under the name uncultured bacterium. Its description in RNAcentral is "bacterial SSU rRNA". It matches the Rfam family "Bacterial small subunit ribosomal RNA", at positions 27 to 507 of the family's 1533-position model. The record is from RNAcentral.